This 483-nucleotide ribosomal RNA is filed under the name uncultured bacterium. Its description in RNAcentral is "partial 16S ribosomal RNA". It matches the Rfam family "Bacterial small subunit ribosomal RNA", at positions 28 to 507 of the family's 1533-position model. The record is from RNAcentral.
GACGAACGCUGGCGGCGUGCUUAACACAUGCAAGUCGAACGCUGAAGCUCAGCUUUUGUUGGGUGGAUGAGUGGCGAACGGGUGAGUAACACGUGAGUAACCUGCCCCCUUCUUUGGGAUAACGCCCGGAAACGGGUGCUAAUACUGGAUAUUCACUGGUCUUCGCAUGGGGGUUGGUGGAAAGGGUUUUUCUGGUGGGGGAUGGGCUCGCGGCCUAUCCGCUUGUUGGUGGGGUGAUGGCCUACCAAGGCUUUGACGGGUAGCCGGCCUGAGAGGGUGACCGGUCACAUUGGGACUGAGAUACGGCCCAGACUCCUACGGGAGGCAGCAGUGGGGAAUAUUGCACAAUGGGCGCAAGCCUGAUGCAGCGACGCCGCGUGAGGGAUGGAGGCCUUCGGGUUGUGAACCUCUUUCGCUCAUGGUCAAGCCGCAACAAUGGUUGUGGUGAGGGUAGUGGGUAAAGAAGCGCCGGCUAACUACGUG